Ophiobolus disseminans is the source of this 80-nucleotide non-coding RNA. The record is from the annotation of a GenBank genome assembly. Lineage: Eukaryota; Fungi; Ascomycota; Dothideomycetes; Pleosporales; Phaeosphaeriaceae.
GCCUGCUUGGCCAAGUGGUAAGGCGUCGCACUUGUACAUGUGGCAUGCGAAGAGCACUCGUUCGAUUCGGGUAGUAGGCA